Molecule: transfer RNA, 77 nt
Filed under: bacterium
Lineage: Bacteria
Description: tRNA-Asp
Rfam family: tRNA
About the family: Transfer RNA (tRNA) molecules are approximately 80 nucleotides in length. Their secondary structure includes four short double-helical elements and three loops (D, anti-codon, and T loops).
Source: RNAcentral
GGGGGCGUAGAUCAAUUGGUUAGAUCGUUUCCCUGUCACGGAAAAGGUUGCCGGUUCGAGCCCGGUCGCUCCCGCCA